RNAcentral lists this transfer RNA (72 nucleotides) under Sphaerodactylus townsendi. RNAcentral's name for it is "tRNA-Ala". It matches the Rfam family "tRNA". From Rfam's summary of the family: Transfer RNA (tRNA) molecules are approximately 80 nucleotides in length. Their secondary structure includes four short double-helical elements and three loops (D, anti-codon, and T loops). Lineage: Eukaryota; Metazoa; Chordata; Lepidosauria; Squamata; Sphaerodactylidae. The record is from RNAcentral.
GGAGGCGCGGCUUGGUGGUAGAGCAUCCGCUUGGCAUGCAGAAGGCCCCGGGUUCGAUUCCCAGCAUCUCCA